GGAGACUCGAACUCACAACCUCUCGGUUGGAAGUGGGGGUUGCUUACCAUCAGAGCAACCCCUCUUGUCUAAAUAAUUUACAACAUCCAAAAACUAAAAAGAAUAUAGAGGAAAAUCAAAACAAUCAAAUAGAAUAAGUUCGACUGACCUUUUGAGUGAAACAAGUUACAACAUGUGCCACAUAAUAAGCAUGUUAGCAAACAAAAUGAUGACGUAUAGUGGCAGCACAAUGCAUAGAUCCCGUUCUAUGAAGGCUUAGGCUAAAUCACCACCACUUUGUUGCCACAAAUUAAUGAUAUCGGUAGCCUGAUUAAGAAGAAUAAUCAUUUGCUUCUGUGAAAUCCAGGGUUUACUCUCCAGCACGAUUUUAAGCUCCUCCCAAGCAUCUUUUCUAGGCCAAAAAUAAUAGGGGCUCAACGGAAUCGUACACAUAGAUCUUGUUCUAUGAAGGCUUAGACUAAAUCACCACCACUCUGUUGCCACAAAUUGAUGAUAUCGGUAGCCUGAUUAAGAAGAAUAAUCAUUUGCUUCUGUGAUAUCCAGGGUUUACUCUCCAGCAU
RNAcentral lists this long non-coding RNA (560 nucleotides) under Nicotiana benthamiana. Its description in RNAcentral is "long non-coding RNA (NBEN_LNC032979)". Lineage: Eukaryota; Viridiplantae; Streptophyta; Magnoliopsida; Solanales; Solanaceae. The record is from RNAcentral.